CUACGGGACGCAGCAGUUAGGUAUAAUCUACAAUGCGCGCAAGCGUGAUAGUUUGAGCCAGAGUGUUUUUCAUUGAAAGACUUUUAUGGAAUGUAAAAAGUUCCACGAAUAAGGACUGGGUAAGACUAGUGCCAGCCGCCGCGGUAAUACUAGCGGUCCAAGUCGCAGCCAUUUUUAUUGGGUCUAAAACAUCCGUAGCUUGCUUGAUAAGUCUUCUGUGAAAUUUUAUAUCUCAAAUAUGAAGCGUGCAGAAGGUACUGUCAAGCUAGAGACUGGUAGACGUAAAGAGUAUGUUCAGAGUAGCGGUAAAAUGUGUUAAUCCUGGACAGACUAACAAGAGCGAAGGCACUUUACGAGAACAGUUCUGACAGUAAGGGAUGAAGGCUAGGGGCGCAAAACGGAUUAGAUACCCCAGUAGUC
This 420-nucleotide ribosomal RNA is filed under the name uncultured archaeon. RNAcentral describes it as "partial 16S ribosomal RNA". It matches the Rfam family "Archaeal small subunit ribosomal RNA", at positions 323 to 746 of the family's 1478-position model. The record is from RNAcentral.